CACGUAGGGGGCAAGCGUUGUUCGGAAUUACUGGGCGUAAAGGGCGCGUAGGCGGUGUGUCAAGUCAGGCGUGAAAGCCCCGGGCUCAACCUGGGAACUGCAAUGGAAACUGGCGGGCUUGAGUGUGGCAGAGGGGGGUGGAAUUCCGCGUGUAGCAGUGAAAUGCGUAGAGAUGCGGAGGAACACCGAUGGCGAAGGCAGCCCCCUGGGCCAACACUGACGCUCGAGGCACGAAAGCGUGGGGAGCAAACAGG
This 254-nucleotide ribosomal RNA is filed under the name uncultured bacterium. RNAcentral describes it as "partial 16S ribosomal RNA". It matches the Rfam family "Bacterial small subunit ribosomal RNA", at positions 524 to 776 of the family's 1533-position model. The record is from RNAcentral.